AGUACCACAUCCUAAGUGCAACUUGUGUACAUAUGUAUCUUACUAUAACUAUAAGCAUGAUUGCAUCGAGAAUACCUAUAUGGAGAUUUUGAAGAGUCAUUCCACGAUAUUAUAUGAAGAUGUUCAUACCUAUCAAGAAUGAUAAUUUCAAGGUGCGGAAUAUUUAUUCAAAUCAAUAUGGCUGAUUUAUUUAUCAAAUCUCUACAAAAGAUCGUUUUGAAGAUGGUG
RNAcentral lists this long non-coding RNA (228 nucleotides) under Nicotiana benthamiana. Its description in RNAcentral is "long non-coding RNA (NBEN_LNC032909)". Lineage: Eukaryota; Viridiplantae; Streptophyta; Magnoliopsida; Solanales; Solanaceae. The record is from RNAcentral.